UCAGACGAUGCGUCAUGCAUAUCAAUAAGCGGAGGAAAAGAAACUAACAAGGAUUCCCCUAGUAACGGCGAGUGAAGCGGGAAGAGCUCAAAUUUGAAAUCUUAAAGGGUUUCCCUUUACGAAUUGUAGUUUAAAGAAGUGUUUUCUGUUGAGGUUUUGGUAAAAGUUCUUUGGAAUAGGACAUCAUAGAGGGUGAGAAUCCCGUAUUUGACCUUCACUUUCAACUUUGUGAUACACUUUCAAAGAGUCGGAUUGUUUGGGAAUGCAGUCCAAAAUGGGUGGUAAAUUUCAUCUAAAGCUAAAUAUUGGCGAGAGACCGAUAGCGAACAAGUACCGUGAGGGAAAGAUGAAAGGAACUUUGAAAAGAGAGUUAAACAGUACGUGAAAUUGUCAAAAGGGAAGCGUUUGACACCAGUGUUGUUUUUCUGAAGAUCAAUUAAAGAACUGUUUAUGCUAAGCUGUUUAGACUUUAUCAGCUAUCUGUUUAGUUUUGAGCUUUUCUUUAAUGCACUUUUCAGUUAACAAGUCAACAUCAAUUUCUUUUGCUGUAAAAAAGCUUGAGGGAGGUGGCUUGAGAUUCGUCUUAAGUGUUUAUAGCCUCUUGCCUAUGCAGUCGGAGAGAUUGAGGUCUGCAGCGUAGAUCCUUCGGGGCUAAAUGCAUUUGUGCUAAGUUAUAGCAUUUCAUAGACAACUUGUUGACUAUGAUUUGUCUUGUAGCUUACUCGCUUAUGUUAUUUUACCUACGCUUAGGAUGUUGACACACGCGCGUGCUCG
This 774-nucleotide ribosomal RNA is filed under the name uncultured Neocallimastigales. Its description in RNAcentral is "partial large subunit ribosomal RNA". It matches the Rfam family "Eukaryotic large subunit ribosomal RNA", at positions 18 to 643 of the family's 3401-position model. The record is from RNAcentral. Lineage: Eukaryota; Fungi; Neocallimastigomycota; Neocallimastigomycetes; Neocallimastigales.